GCCAGGCAUGGUGGUACAUGCCUGUAAUCCCAGUGACUUGGGAGGCUGAGACUGGAGGAUCACAAGACUCAUCAAAAGCAAUGAGCUAAGUAACUCAGUGAAACCCUGUCUCUA
This 114-nucleotide small RNA is filed under the name Marmota monax (woodchuck). The record is from RNAcentral. Lineage: Eukaryota; Metazoa; Chordata; Mammalia; Rodentia; Sciuridae.